Molecule: ribosomal RNA, 332 nt
Filed under: uncultured bacterium
Lineage: Bacteria
Description: bacterial SSU rRNA
Rfam family: Bacterial small subunit ribosomal RNA
Source: RNAcentral
CGCGUAGGCGGUGUUUUAAGUGAGAUGUGCAAUCCCCGAGCUUAACUUGGGAACUGCAUCUCAGACUGGAACGCUAGAGUGCUGGAGAGGGUGGUAGAAUUCCACGUGUAGCGGUGAAAUGCGUAGAGAUGUGGAGGAAUACCAGUGGCGAAGGCGGCCACCUGGACAGUAACUGACGCUGAGGCGCGAAAGUGUGGGUAGCAAACAGGAUUAGAUACCCUGGUAGUCCACGCUGUAAACGAUGAGCACUUGGUGUGGUGGGAGUUGACCCCUGCCGUGCCGUAGCUAACGCGAUAAGUGUUCCGCCUGGGGAGUACGGUCGCAAGGCUGAA